GGCAGGGUAGCUCAAUGGUAGAGCGAGAGAAUCAUAACCUCUAGGUUGUGGGUUCGAUUCCCACCCCUGUCACUA
This 75-nucleotide transfer RNA is filed under the name Candidatus Curtissbacteria bacterium RBG_13_40_7. RNAcentral describes it as "tRNA-Met". It matches the Rfam family "tRNA". Rfam says of the family: Transfer RNA (tRNA) molecules are approximately 80 nucleotides in length. Their secondary structure includes four short double-helical elements and three loops (D, anti-codon, and T loops). Lineage: Bacteria; Candidatus Curtissiibacteriota. The record is from RNAcentral.